AGAGUUUGAUCCUGGCUCAGAUUGAACACNGGCGGCAUGCUUUACACAUGCAAGUCGAACGGCAGCACGGGGGCAACCCUGGUGGCGAGUGGCGAACGGGUGAGUAAUGCAUCGGAACAUAUCUUAAAGUGGGGAAUAACGCAUCGAAAGGUGUGCUAAUACUCCAUAUGCUCUAGCGAGGAAAGCGGGGGAUCGAAAGACCUCGUGCUUUAAGAGUGGCCGAUGUCUGAUUAGCUAGUUGGUAAGGUAAAGGCUUACCAAGGCGACGAUCAGUAGCUGGUCUGAGAGGACGAUCAGCCACACUGGGACUGAGACACGGCCCAGACUCCUACGGGAGGCAGCAGUGGGGAAUUUUGGACAAUGGGCGAAAGCCUGAUCCAGCCAUGCCGCGUGAGUGAAGAAGGCCUUCGGGUUGUAAAGCUCUUUCGGUCGAGAAGAAAUGUCUAUGACUAAUACUUAUAGAAAAUGACGGUAUCGACAUAAGAAGCACCGGCUAACUACGUGCCAGCAGCCGCGGUAAUACGUAGGGUGCAAGCGUUAAUCGGAAUUAUUGGGCGUAAAGGGUGCGCAGGCUGUGCUGUAAGUCAGAUGUGAAAUCCCCGGGCUUAACCUGGGAAUUGCGUUUGAACUGCAGUGCUAGAGUGUGAUAGAGGAGAGUGGAAUUCCAUGUGUAGCAGUGAAAUGCGUAGAGAUGUGGAAGAACACCAAUGGCGAAGGCAGCUCUCUGGAUUAACACUGACGCUCAUGCACGAAAGCGUGGGGAGCAAACAGGAUUAGAUACCCCGGUAGU
Molecule: ribosomal RNA, 790 nt
Filed under: uncultured bacterium
Lineage: Bacteria
Description: bacterial SSU rRNA
Rfam family: Bacterial small subunit ribosomal RNA
Source: RNAcentral